RNAcentral lists this long non-coding RNA (1181 nucleotides) under Trifolium pratense (red clover). RNAcentral's name for it is "long non-coding RNA (TPRA_LNC003285)". The record is from RNAcentral. Lineage: Eukaryota; Viridiplantae; Streptophyta; Magnoliopsida; Fabales; Fabaceae.
CUCGAUUCCUUCUAUUUGUAUGUUUAACUUUGUCUCCUCCUUUAUCAGUUAACUCAUAAGUUAAUUCUGAAAAGAAAUAAAAAAGAAGAUAAACUCAGCUCAACAUGGAAGCCUAAUAAAAUUGACAACUUAGAGAAAAUAAAGCCUAGAAAUGACAACAACCAAUAUCACAAAAAUCAAUUAGCAGCAGUAGUCAAGUAUGAUAAUUGAAUAAAUCUCUUUAAAAUACUAUGAUAAUGAUUACCAACACAUAGUUAACUAGCAAUCAGCCAAGAUGGGAAAUUGAAACUUAAACAUCAGCCCUCUCUACAAUGAAACAAAGAUGGUGGCAUUUAAGAGUUAGAUAUGAUCAUUUUUUUUCACCUAUAAAGAUAUAAUUAAUUUAUAAAAUGAGUCUUUAUUCCAAUCUACAUACUUUUCGGUUGAUGAUGGCAUCAUAAACCUUAUUAGUGAUCUUCUAUCUAGCCUCUCUAUACUGCACAAUCUUUUCAAAUGAUGAAAUAAUAUUCUGACAAACUCAUCACCAUCACCUCCGUGGUGAAACUUCUAAAGUCUUAAUAUACAGAAAGAUUCAAUCAAGAAAGAUCUUAAUAUAAGAUAUAGAUAUUACCUUUAAGUCUUAAUUUUUUCAACUCCUUGCAAAAACUAAGUCAUGCCAAUUGCCAAUUAUUCCAUAAAAACAUAACAGGAAAUGCCUACAAGAUAAGAAAGAAUCACAAUAGAAAAGAACAAAUCAAUAGAUUAGUGCCAAAGAAUAGUAUCAGUUUUACUUAUGAUAUAUACUAAGCAUUAGACACAUUUUCUAAUUCUACCAAAUGCUAACUAAAGACAAACAAAAGGGUAUGCUCUAAGCUAAAGACAAACAAAACUUAUAUACUCACAAUAANNNNNNNNNNNNNNNNNNUGGUCAAUGAAGAGAACUAAAAAUGAAGAUUCCAAACAAGCUUCAACUAAUGAUACCUCUCUAUUGGUUCUUCAAGUAUAACCAUAUCAAUAAAAUGUAUAACCUGCAUAGAAUACAAAAUUAUGAUCACAAUAUUGCUAAAAAGUACAAUCGUCCAUAAGAAUUAUCACUGCUUCUAAACUACCAAAUUAAAAGAGAAAAAGCACAACCAAAAAUUCUACAAAGCAAUCAGUACAUGUGAAUUGGUAAAAAGUCUUAAAUCACAAGGGAACUAAGA